RNAcentral lists this ribosomal RNA (404 nucleotides) under Fusobacteriota bacterium. RNAcentral describes it as "Fusobacteria bacterium partial 16S ribosomal RNA". It matches the Rfam family "Bacterial small subunit ribosomal RNA", at positions 355 to 776 of the family's 1533-position model. Lineage: Bacteria; Fusobacteriati; Fusobacteriota. The record is from RNAcentral.
UGGGGAAUAUUGCACAAUGGAGGGAACUCUGAUGCAGCGACGCCGCGUGAGUGAUGAAGGAAUUCGUUUCGUAAAACUCUGUUCUAUGGGAAGAAAAGGACUGUACCAUAGGAGAAAGCUCCGGCUAAAUACGUGCCAGCAGCCGCGGUAAUACGUAUGGAGCGAGCGUUGUCCGGAAUUAUUGGGCGUAAAGGGUGCGCAGGCGGCUUUACAAGUUGGAUGUGAAAUAUUGUGGCUCAACCACAAACGUGCAUCCAAAACUGCAAAGCUUGAGUUAAGGAGAGGUAAGUGGAAUUCCUGGUGUAGCGGUGGAAUGCGUAGAUAUCAGGAGGAAUACCGGUGGCGAAGGCGACUUACUGGACUUAAACUGACGCACAGGCACGAAAGCGUGGGGAGCAAACAGG